RNAcentral lists this small nucleolar RNA (128 nucleotides) under Callithrix jacchus (white-tufted-ear marmoset). Its description in RNAcentral is "Small nucleolar RNA SNORA25 (ENSCJAG00000073675.1)". It matches the Rfam family "Small nucleolar RNA SNORA25". Rfam says of the family: ACA25 is a member of the H/ACA class of snoRNA that guide the sites of modification of uridines to pseudouridines. Lineage: Eukaryota; Metazoa; Chordata; Mammalia; Primates; Cebidae. The record is from Rfam by way of RNAcentral.
AGGUUAUGUCAAAGAGGGCUCAUGAGGCUAUGAAACCAAGAGCUCUUAAUGCUAUGAACAAAGAUGGAAGUUCUCUAUAAAAUGCCAUAGCACUCCAUAAUGUUAUGUUUUCCUAAGGUAAUAUAAGA